RNAcentral lists this long non-coding RNA (428 nucleotides) under Panax ginseng (ginseng). RNAcentral describes it as "long non-coding RNA (PGIN_LNC007029)". Lineage: Eukaryota; Viridiplantae; Streptophyta; Magnoliopsida; Apiales; Araliaceae. The record is from RNAcentral.
GCCAGAAAUCAAAAAUCAAGCUUGAAAAGGUAGGAAAUCCUAAAUUCUAGAAAUCCUUCGAUUCGAUGUUAAUUGAUGCAAUUGAUUGUUUAAAGUAGUGUAAUAGAGAGUCUAUUAAUGUUCUGGGUUGUAAAAUCAUGAACCCAUAACAUCAAAGUGCACGAAUUUGAAGAUUUGAGCAAGUUGGAAAAACCGAAUUCUGUUAUUUUUCACCAAAUGUCAGAGGCUAUAACUCUUUGGUCGAUCAUGAGUUUUGUUGUUUAAAAGUUGUUAUAGGUAGCCUAAUAUGUGGUCUUUAAACUCCAAAAGGAAUCAGGUCUAUAUCUAUUGUAGAUCGGGAUUUAUAAGCGGUCAAAGUGGGUUGACCGGCAUUGACCGGCUGUUUUUCAAACCCAGAAAAUAUUCUAAGUGUCCAGAAAUUUUUUUUU